CGUGAAGCCGGAAUUGCUAGUAAUCGCGGAUCAGCAUGCCGCGGUGAAUACGUUCCCGGGCCUUGUACACACCGCCCGUCACACCAUGAGAGCCGGGGGGACCCGAAGUCCGUAGCCUAACCGCAAGGGGGCGCGGCCGAAGGUGGGUUCGAUAAUUGGGGUGAAGUCGUAACAAGGUAGC
Molecule: ribosomal RNA, 181 nt
Filed under: uncultured bacterium
Lineage: Bacteria
Description: partial 16S ribosomal RNA
Rfam family: Bacterial small subunit ribosomal RNA
Source: RNAcentral